GAGCUCACUUUAGCAGAUGCGCUGAAACUGAAAAAAUACAUGGGAGGUUAACAUGGCCCCUGUGCAAGGAUGACACGCAGACUCGCGAGGCAGGCCGUAUUUUA
Meriones unguiculatus (Mongolian gerbil) is the source of this 104-nucleotide small nuclear RNA. NCBI's taxonomy places the organism in Eukaryota, Metazoa, Chordata, Mammalia, Rodentia, Muridae. The record is from Ensembl.